This 891-nucleotide ribosomal RNA is filed under the name Burkholderia sp. Its description in RNAcentral is "bacterial SSU rRNA". Lineage: Bacteria; Pseudomonadati; Pseudomonadota; Betaproteobacteria; Burkholderiales; Burkholderiaceae. The record is from RNAcentral.
CGUGACAUCAUAGAGAUGCUCGUGGCUCGGGAGCGCGUGGUGCUUCCUCCUUAUGGUUUAGUGGCGAACGGGUGAGUAAUACAUCGGAACAUGUCCUGUAGUGGGGGAUAGCCCGGCGAAAGCCGGAUUAAUACCGCAUACGAUCUACGGAUGAAAGCGGGGGACCUUCGGGCCUCGCCCUAUAGGGUUGGCCGAUGGCUGAUUAGCUAGUUGGUGGGGUAAAGGCCUACCAAGGCGACGAUCAGUAGCUGGUCUGAGAGGACGACCAGCCUAACUGGGACUGAGACACGCCCCAGACUCCUACGGGAGGCAGCAGUGGGGAAUUUUGGACAAUGGGCGAAAGCCUGAUCCAGCAAUGCCGCGUAUGUGAAGAAGGCCUUCGGGUUGUAAAGCACUUUUUGUCCGAAAAGAAAUCCUUUGCUUCUAAUACAGUCGGGGGGAUGACGGUACCGGAAAGAAUAAGCACCGGCUAAACUACGUGCCAGCAGCCGCGGUAAUACGUAGGGUGCGAGCGUUAAUCGGAAUUACUGGGCGUAAAGCGUGCGCGGGCGGUUUUGCUAAGACCGAUGUGAAAUCCCCCGGGGCUCAACCUGGGAACUGCAUUUGGUGACUGGCAGGCUAGAGUAUGGCAGAGGGGGGGUAGAAUUCCACGUGUAGCAGUGAAAAUGCGUAGAGAUGUGGAGGAAUACCGAUGGCGAAGGGCAGCCCCCUGGGCCAAUUACUGACGCUCAUGCACGAAAGCGUGGGMGCAACAGGGAUUAGGAUACCCUGGUAGUCCACGCCUAAACGAUGUCAACUAGUGUGGAUUCAUUUCCUUUAGUAACGUAGCUAACCGCGUGAAGUUGACCGAAUGGGAGUACCGUUCCGCAAGAAUUCAAAUCCUCCAAAGGU